Molecule: ribosomal RNA, 471 nt
Filed under: uncultured Erythrobacter sp.
Lineage: Bacteria; Pseudomonadati; Pseudomonadota; Alphaproteobacteria; Sphingomonadales; Erythrobacteraceae
Description: bacterial SSU rRNA
Rfam family: Bacterial small subunit ribosomal RNA
Source: RNAcentral
UGGGCGAAAGCCUGAUCCAGCAAUGCCGCGUGAGUGAUGAAGGCCUUAGGGUUGUAAAGCUCUUUUACCAGGGAUGAUAAUGACAGUACCUGGAGAAUAAGCUCCGGCUAACUCCGUGCCAGCAGCCGCGGUAAUACGGAGGGAGCUAGCGUUGUUCGGAAUUACUGGGCGUAAAGCGCACGUAGGCGGCUUUUCAAGUCAGGGGUGAAAUCCCGGGGCUCAACCCCGGAACUGCCCUUGAAACUGGAUGGCUAGAAUUCUGGAGAGGUUAGUGGAAUUCCGAGUGUAGAGGUGAAAUUCGUAGAUAUUCGGAAGAACACCAGUGGCGAAGGCGACUCACUGGACAGUUAUUGACGCUGAGGUUCGAAAGCGUGGGGAGCAAACAGGAUUAGAUACCCUGGUAGUCCACGCCGUAAACGAUGAUAACUAGUUGUCCGGGCUCAUGGAGCUUGAGUGUCGCAGCUAACGCAU